RNAcentral lists this ribosomal RNA (497 nucleotides) under uncultured bacterium. Its description in RNAcentral is "partial 16S ribosomal RNA". It matches the Rfam family "Bacterial small subunit ribosomal RNA", at positions 28 to 507 of the family's 1533-position model. The record is from RNAcentral.
GAUGAACGCUGGCGGCGUGCCUAAUACAUGCAAGUCGAGCGAACAGACGAGGAGCUUGCUCCUCUGACGUUAGCGGCGGACGGGUGAGUAACACGUGGAUAACCUACCUAUAAGACUGGGAUAACUUCGGGAAACCGGAGCUAAUACCGGAUAAUAUAUUGAACCGCAUGGUUCCAUAGUGAAAGACGGUUUUGCUGUCACUUAUAGAUGGAUCCGCGCCGCAUUAGCUAGUUGGUAAGGUAACGGCUUACCAAGGCAACGAUGCGUAGCCGACCUGAGAGGGUGAUCGGCCACACUGGAACUGAGACACGGUCCAGACUCCUACGGGAGGCAGCAGUAGGGAAUCUUCCGCAAUGGGCGAAAGCCUGACGGAGCAACGCCGCGUGAGUGAUGAAGGUCUUCGGAUCGUAAAACUCUGUUAUUAGGGAAGAACAAAUGUGUAAGUAACUAUGCACGUCUUGACGGUACCUAAUCAGAAAGCCACGGCUAACUACGUG